Molecule: long non-coding RNA, 4274 nt
Filed under: Anolis carolinensis (green anole)
Lineage: Eukaryota; Metazoa; Chordata; Lepidosauria; Squamata; Anolidae
Description: lncRNA (ENSACAG00000041223.1)
Source: RNAcentral
UAUACCUAAAGCAGUGGGAGGGGCUGCAGGUCAUGUGACUGACUCAGUAACGGUUUAGAAUGUUCAGUUUUCAAAAGGAUGACAGUUAGAAAUCAGUUGAGCCUUGAGCCUGUUCGAAGUCAGUUGAGCCUUGAGCCUGUUAGAAAUCAGUUGAGCCUUGAGCCUGUUCGAAGUCAGUUGAGCCUUGAGCCUGUUAGAAAUCAGUUGAGCCUUGAGCCUGUUCGAAGUCAGUUGAGCCUUGAGCCUGUUAGAAAUCAGUUGAGCCUUGAGCCUGUUCGAAGUCAGUUGAGCCUUGAGCCUGUUAGAAGUCACUUGAGCCUUGAGUCUGUUAGACGUCAUUUGAGCCUUGAGCCUGUUAGAAGUCAGUUGAGCCUUGAGUCUGUUAGAAGUCAGUUGAGCCUUGAGCCUGUUAGAAGUCAGUUGAGCCUUGAGCCUGUUAGAUCAGUUGAGCCUUGAGCCUGUUAGAAGUCAGUUGAGCCUUGAGUCAGCUUGAGUGUAGGAGUUUAAACUGUUGUGGCUUGUGUUUUAAACUGUUUUUAAAGAGAGCUUAUAAAACAAUGUAGUUUAUGAAGAAACAGUUAAAGUUUAUAAGUUAAAGAUACAAACUCUCUAAAUGUUUUGAAGUUUUUAACACCGGGCAAAGAAAUGUGUCUGUAUCUAUAAAUAGAUGAAGUUAUCAGUAAACAAACGUGUUGCUUUAAAAUAAUAAUAAUAAUAAUUAUUAUUAUUAUUAUUAUUAUGCAACUUGGGACAAUAGGAUUCUCAGUAAGAAUCAGCAGGAAAGCCUUGCUUGUAGAAGUGCAUCUACAUUGUGUAAUUGACACAGUUUAACACCAUUUUCACUGCAAGGGUUCAGUGCAAUGGAAUCCUGGGAGUUGUAGUUUGGUGAGGCACCAGAAACUCUUUGGCAGAGAAGGCCAAAGAUCUCGUUAAACUACAACUCCCACGGUUCCAUAGCAUUAAACCAGCGUGGCUGAUGUGGCGUUGAACUGCAUUAAAUUCAACAGUGUAGAUAUACACGCUGUGUGUCCUUUUGAGCCUUGAUAUGCAAUUACGUGAAACAAUGGCACGGCAUCCAUAAAGUCCGUUAUGCAUAAUCCCUCCAAAGGAAUUUACACACAUAUAACACACCAAUAGGAUGCUUGAAUCAUGAGUUUAUUCAUCAAUAUUCUUAUCCGUGAAGAGGACUAAAGAAGUUGUGUUUUUAAACAGUACAAAGAGUUGAAGGGUCGUCUUCCUUGUAGAACUUAUAUUUACAGGUUUCGGGAUCAACCACCGAGAUGCAUCCUUCCAUAACUGCAAUGCCACCAAACCUAAAAAGAAAAGGAAACAAGGAAAGCCAUAGAUGAAUUAUGGCAUAUAUAUAUAUAUAUAUGGUAGCCAUGGCAGCCAAUCCUAGGAGUCUCUCUCUAAGCUCCUCCCUCUUUCUAACCACACUCAAGAUGGCUGCCUGGCAUUCCUCUACAAAAUGGAGGCUUGCCUCACUCACUGUUACCCAGGCUUCAUUCCAGGCCUAAUAGGUAAGGUUCACUACAUGGUCCCUUCACUCGAUUUACAGUUUUUCUGCCAAUAGUGGAUAUUUUAAUAAUACAGUAGAGUCUCACUUAUCCAACAUAAACAGGCCGGCAGAAUGUUGGAUAAGCGAAUAUGUUGGAUAAUAAGGAGGGAUUAAGGAAAAGUCUAUUAAAUAUCAAAUUAGGUUAUGAUUUUACAAAUUAAGAACCAAAACAUCAUGUUUUACAACAAAUUUGACAGAAAAAGUACUUCAAUACGCAGUAAUGCUAUGUAGUCUCAUUUAUCCAACAUAAACGGGCCAGCAGAACGUUGGAUAAGCGAAUAUGUUGGAUAAGGAGGGAUUAAGGAAAAGCCUAUUAAACAUCAAAUUAGGUUAUGAUUUUACAAAUUAAGAACCAAAACAUCAUGUUUAACAACAAAUUUGACAGAAAAAGUAGUUCAUUACACAGUAAAGCUAUGUAGUAAUUACUGUAUUUACGAAUUUAGCACCAAAAUAUCACUAUGUAUUGAAAACAUUGACUACAAAAAUGCAUUGGAUAAUCCAGAAUGUUGGAUAAGCGAGUGUUGGAUAAGUGAGACUCUACUGUAAUAAUAAUAAUAAUAAUAAUAAUAAUAAUAAUAAUAAUAAUAAUAACACAGUCCUAGACACUUGGGAAGUGUUCGACUUGUGAUUUUGUGAUAUGAAAUCCAGCAUAUCUAUCUUGUUUGCUGUGUCAUAAAAUAAUAAUAAUAAUAAUAGUAAUAAUAAUAAUAACUAUAACUUUAUUUAUACCCCGCCACCAUCUCCCCACAGGCACUCGGGGCGGCUUACAUGGGUCAAGGCCCGAACAGCAUAAUUGAGCAAAAACAACAACAUAAAUAAAAUUCACAAUAUACAAAAGAUAAAACAGUGAUACAAUAAAACAAUAAUUUUACAACGGUUAAUAAUAUCAAUCAACCAGCAGGUACAGUUCAGUUUGUUUAUUUGAACCUUGUGUUGAUAAAAAAAGGGAAGGGAUGCAAACAAAUAAACAAAGAGCAUUACAUUUAAUAAUCAACUUGGGGUGUAUCAACGUUAUUGAACAAAUGCAGUGUGACACUAUUUUCAUUGCGAAUGUGAAUAUGUACAAUAUUUUUGGCAGACUAUAUCAAAUACAGUAGAGUCUCACUUAUCCAACGUAAACGGGCUGGCAGAACGUUGGAUAAGCAAAUAUGUUGGAUAAUAAGGAAAGAUUAAGGAAAAGCCUAUUAAACAUCAAAUUAGGUUAUGAUUUUACAAAUAAAGCACCAAAACAUCAUGUUAUACAACAAAUUUGACAGAAAAAGUAGUUCAAUACACAGUAAUGCUAUGUAGUAAUUACUGUAUUUGUGAAUUUAGCACCAAAAUAUCACGAUGUAUUGAAAACAUUGACUACAAAAAUGUGUUGGAUAAUCCAGAACGUUGGAUAAGCGAGAUUCUACUGUACUAGGAAAAGAGUGGGUGAUAACAAAGGAAAUAGCGGUAUUAGGGAAAAGAGUGGAAACGGGAAAUAAAAGGGAAAUAAAAGAAGCAAUAAUUGAAUGUGCACAAGCAGUAAGAGUAUUAGGGGUGGAAAGAUAAAUCAAAAUGGACAGUAAAUAAGUGGUAUCAAUAUAUGGUGGAGCAAAUGGAAUUUGAAAUUAUGAAUGUGAAAUUAAAUGUUUUAAAAACAAAUGAAAAUAGAACGAGAGAAAUGGAAGAAAGAUGGACAAGGGUAAAGAACUAUAUCAUGAAUCAAUCCGGAGAUCAAGCCAUAAGAAAUAAGAUACAAAUGUUAUGUAGUAUAUAGAAUGGAAAUGUAUAAAGAUAAAAAUAUAAAGAAAUGAAUAUGUAAAUGUAAACAAUCCUCGUUGUUGGUGGUGGGAAUUGUAAAUGUUUUGUAUGUGAACGGUUUAUGUUUUAAAAAAUAAAUAUUAGUUUAAAAAAACUAUUUUCAUUGCGAGGAAGUUGUGGGAGUUGUAGUCCCCUUGCAUUGAGCCAUGGUGAUUAAAGUGGUGUCAAACUGCAUUAAUUCGACAGUGCAGGUGCACCUUCGGUUUCUUUUGCGGUGACCUUCAAUCCAAGGAGAGAUAUCAUUGCUACUUCCGUUUAACCCCCUUUCAAGACAUACCGUAUCUACUAGAGUAUUGAGGCGGGGGGGGUUAAGGAACCCCAGGAAAUACCAUAUAUGGGCAGAGAUGGCGACAGCUAGCGACCCGGGUGCAUAAACUCACAGAAACAUGUGACUUCUGGGAAAUCAUGUGUUUCUGAAGAAAUGAAAGCUAAAGAUAAACAAACAGCGCAUGCGUACGCAGGCGCUGUUUGUAAUUUGUGAGCACGGCACAAAAAGGGUGCAGCCGGCCUGCUGGUCAGCACUGAUUGGGCAGCGUCACAACUCUAAGCCAAUGAAUUUGCUUGUGGGCGGGCAUAACCCGAACCCUGUAGUGUGUAUAAAUGUUCACUCAGCAUGCCACUGGUCGGUUCCCCUGGAGAAGCACUUUACUUUUGUGCUAGGGGGACCCCUAGUGGCCAUUAGCGAAAUAAAACUGCUUUCUGGGAAAUUCCUUCAGUUGUCCGUCUUCAAAUUCCUCCACUGCGCCAACAAGAACCGUAGCACGAAGGUUCCGCUACAUUUUCUGGUGACCCCGACGUGAUUUUUUCCUAUAAGACGGGCCAGGAGAUUUGGAGACGGAUCCCGUUGGCGGGACGGCCUCAACUCAGCGGUGGGGGCCUGAGGCAACUACCCGUGAGACGAGAAGGGGCCCCUGAAUACUACACGACC